Molecule: ribosomal RNA, 585 nt
Filed under: Pseudomonas sp. StFLB138
Lineage: Bacteria; Pseudomonadati; Pseudomonadota; Gammaproteobacteria; Pseudomonadales; Pseudomonadaceae
Also listed under: 2 other names
Description: bacterial SSU rRNA
Rfam family: Bacterial small subunit ribosomal RNA
Source: RNAcentral
ACGGGUGAGUAAUGCCUAGGAAUCUGCCUGGUAGUGGGGGACAACGUUUCGAAAGGAACGCUAAUACCGCAUACGUCCUACGGGAGAAAGCAGGGGACCUUCGGGCCUUGCGCUAUCAGAUGAGCCUAGGUCGGAUUAGCUAGUUGGUGAGGUAAUGGCUCACCAAGGCGACGAUCCGUAACUGGUCUGAGAGGAUGAUCAGUCACACUGGAACUGAGACACGGUCCAGACUCCUACGGGAGGCAGCAGUGGGGAAUAUUGGACAAUGGGCGAAAGCCUGAUCCAGCCAUGCCGCGUGUGUGAAGAAGGUCUUCGGAUUGUAAAGCACUUUAAGUUGGGAGGAAGGGCAGUAAGCGAAUACCUUGCUGUUUUGACGUUACCGACAGAAUAAGCACCGGCUAACUCUGUGCCAGCAGCCGCGGUAAUACAGAGGGUGCAAGCGUUAAUCGGAAUUACUGGGCGUAAAGCGCGCGUAGGUGGUUUGUUAAGUUGGAUGUGAAAGCCCCGGGCUCAACCUGGGAACUGCAUCCAAAACUGGCAAGCUAGAGUACAGUAGAGGGUGGUGGAAUUUCCUGUGUAGCGGUG